This 474-nucleotide ribosomal RNA is filed under the name uncultured bacterium. RNAcentral's name for it is "bacterial SSU rRNA". It matches the Rfam family "Bacterial small subunit ribosomal RNA", at positions 36 to 507 of the family's 1533-position model. The record is from RNAcentral.
CGACUAGCGGCAGGCCUAAUACAUGCAAGUCGACGGUAAGGCUCCUUCGGGAGUACACGAGUGGCGCACGGGUGCGUUACGCGUAUGCAACCUACCUUUCAGCGGGGGAUAUCCUGGGGAAACUCAGAGCAAUACCCCCAUAUGCACACACUGUAGCAUUACAGAGUGUGGAAAACUCCGGUGCUGAGAGAUGGGCAUGCGUGACAUUAGCUAGUUGGUGGGGUAACGGCUCACCAAGGCUACGAUGUCUAGCUGGUCUGAGAGGAUGAUCAGCCACACUGGAACUGAGACACGGUCCAGACUCCUACGGGAGGCAGCAGUAGGGAAUAUUGGACAAUGGGCGAAAGCCUGAUCCAGCCAUGCCGCGUGGAGGAAGACGGCCCUCUGGGUUGUAAACUCCUUUUAGCAGGGGAUAAACCUGUGCUAUAUGCACAGCUGAAGGUACCUGCAGAAUAAGCACCGGCUAACUCCGUG